UAUUAUUUAUGGGGGAGCCUGUAUGUAAUCAGGCUGAGAAAAGAAUGGCAUUUCUUGACCCUUAGAACCUGAACUGGUUAAUACCAGCGGAGGGAAAUGUAAAUGCUAUCGAA
RNAcentral lists this non-coding RNA (113 nucleotides) under Candidatus Parcubacteria bacterium. RNAcentral describes it as "Parcubacteria bacterium TPP sequence". It matches the Rfam family "TPP riboswitch aptamer (THI element)". From Rfam's summary of the family: Vitamin B(1) in its active form thiamin pyrophosphate (TPP) is an essential coenzyme that is synthesised by coupling of pyrimidine and thiazole moieties in bacteria. The previously detected thiamin-regulatory element, thi box was extended, resulting in a new, highly conserved RNA secondary structure, the THI element, which is widely distributed in eubacteria and also occurs in some archaea. Analysis of operon structures identified a large number of new candidate thiamin-regulated genes, mostly transporters, in various prokaryotic organisms. Lineage: Bacteria; Candidatus Parcubacteria. The record is from RNAcentral.